UACUACCUGGACAGGGAUAAACAAAGGCCCGGUGGCACCGACUGGGGGCAUGAGGUUUUCAGGACACUGUCAGCCCAGGAACAUAACAAUGUUCCAUUUGGCCUCAAGGAUUCAAGUGUGGAGUCCAAACGCCAGACCCUGAACUUCCAGCGCAAGGCCAGGAGCUACUCCAAUGUGGAGGGGAAGCUCCACAAGAAUGGUAAACUUGUUAUGAUUCAGGAGGACUUCAAAGACAUCAUGCGUGUUUAUCAUGAUGCCGCCUCACACCCGGGCAUCACAGUAGUGAAGCGAAAGGUUUGGGGAAUGUGAGGUGAACAAGCUGAAAGGUUAUUUCACUGCCGUGAAGCCAUAUCUUCAGAGCCUUGCAGGAGGACAGAUCCCAGACAACGAGAGGCAUAGCCUCUUCUUCGGACGAGAGGAGAAUGGAUGGUCCACCAGAAAAAAACUGUGGGAUGUGCACCACUCAGGGGCCUUCACAGAGGACCAAGCAAACCUCGUGGACAAGUGGGUGAUUGAAGAGGUGGAUAUUCCUCUUCAGUACGAAAUGCGGUUGGAGUAUGGUGUGGUGGUAGUGCUUCCUGAAGCCUUGGCUGCAAUCUACCAGCUGCACAAAGGCACAGCCAGCCUACAAGAGGCUAGGGAUUGUGUCCGGAAAGCAGGAGUUCGUGAUUAGUUCGUGGGAGUAGACUAGAGUUGAACUUAGACCUGUUACUGGUCUGUAAGAUAAUACUAUUUUCUGUCUAGUGCUGUUU
This is a long non-coding RNA of Branchiostoma floridae (Florida lancelet), 752 nucleotides long. RefSeq lists it as uncharacterized. The record is from RefSeq and is a predicted model, not a curated record. Lineage: Eukaryota; Metazoa; Chordata; Leptocardii; Amphioxiformes; Branchiostomatidae. The transcript is spliced from 5 exons.